UACGGCCGUACCAUGCUGAAUAUACCGGUUCUCGUUAGAUUACCGAAGUUAAGCAUCAUUGGGCGCUUUCAGUACUUUAGGUGACCACCUGGGAAACUGCGUGCCGUU
RNAcentral lists this ribosomal RNA (108 nucleotides) under Caerostris darwini. Lineage: Eukaryota; Metazoa; Arthropoda; Arachnida; Araneae; Araneidae. The record is from RNAcentral.